This is a long non-coding RNA of Lineus longissimus, 1381 nucleotides long. RefSeq lists it as uncharacterized. NCBI's taxonomy places the organism in Eukaryota, Metazoa, Nemertea, Pilidiophora, Heteronemertea, Lineidae. The record is from RefSeq and is a predicted model, not a curated record. The transcript is spliced from 3 exons.
GCAUGGUGGUUGGGUAUAAAAGAAGACCCCGAGUUUAGAUGUCACAUUGCCGACUGGUUCCACGCGGAUAACAACACUUGUCUGAUAUUUGUCAAGAGAAAGAAAGAAAGUCAACAAGAUGAAGACUGCAAUCGUAUGCCUGAUGGUUGUCGUAUUCGGAGCAGCUUUCGUUCAAGGCAAGGCGGUGAAGCCUGUCAUCCCUAUUGAAGACGUCAUAAAGUACGACCCUGUAGACGCCUGCCUCUUCCUCUGUUCAGACUGUUAUUCAAAAGACUUUAUGAUGCAGAUGACAUGUGCCAACAACGUCUGUUUGAUGGGAGAGAAGAAUGUCAAGGUCAUGUUGGGAUGCCCCCCAUUGCAGAAGAUCUUCAAAUAAGCGACAUUAACCUCAGAUUUAAAAGUUAAAGAAAAAAACGGGUUUCCACGGGACUGACAUUUCCGACACACUUUCCCAUGUACAUGUAUAUUUCAAUAAUGCACAAUCACCGCACGAACCUGGGAAAAUAUCAGAUGUUGUGGCCAUUUUUCAAUACAAUGGACGGGAAACAUAGUCAGAUGCUGUCACGGUGAAACAGUCGUGUCGCGCAGGACUUGGCUUUUCGAAUGACCUGGACACUCUAAUACAAUUUUUGUUAAGUUCAUUAUCUGCUGUCUAUUGCCUGAACGAUGAGUGUAUCGCUCUUCCAAAUCUUAUUGAAACAUGAAUUCUGUAUCCGAUAUAUUAAAAUUAAUUAUUUGUACCAUAAGUAUUAAAUUCUCUAACAAUUAAGACAUGUCCUCGAACUGUCUCUGUAAGCAACAGAUAAUUUUGGUAAGCCGUAACGGCCACUAUCGAAUCGUCAUUCGAAUGCAGUGUAGAUUUUAUGAAGUCCGUGUUUUGUAGGCUGUCGUGGCUUAUUCGCGUACUCUGAAAGUUAAUCAAGACAUUCAAAUGAAACACCAAUCGUCACCUCGCCACUAUCAGAUUCUCAGCCUCUAACAAUUGUGUAACAAACAGUCCAGGUAUUUCAAGCAUGUUUCAGUCACGUAACAAGGGGCACGUUUCAAUUAUAUCGUUUGCUUCGCAGACAUUGCAGUCAUGUGACAUGCUAACAAAAUGGCGGCACCAAAUCUUAAUGGUUCUGUCAUACAUGUAGGUUCCGAGUCUGGUCUUUGACUGGAAACAGUAACCAGCCUCGUCCAACAGCGAAAAUCGCCGCAUGCUACUGCAGUGCAAAUAAACAAACAAAUCUUUCACAACAUUUUGUUGUGCAAAAAAAGCUGAAAGGCACCCCUUGUCAAAUAAAGCGGUUAUAUAUCUUUUGUUAUGUAAUUCACAUAUUUAUUGUAUCCUAACUAAUUUGUAAGCACAAGUCAGUAUGCAUUACAGGAAAUCCUUUUA